GACGAAGGGGGCUAGCGUUGUUCGGAAUUACUGGGCGUAAAGCGCGUGUAGGCGGUUGUUCAAGUCGGGUGUGAAAGCCUUGAGCUCAACUCAAGAAAUGCACUCGAUACUGGGCGACUCGAGUGCCGGAGAGGAUAGUGGAAUUCCCAGUGUAGUGGUGAAAUACGUAGAGAUUGGGAAGAACACCAGUGGCGAAGGCGGCUAUCUGGACGGUUACUGACACUGAGGCGCGAAAGCGUGGGGAGCAAACAGG
This 253-nucleotide ribosomal RNA is filed under the name uncultured bacterium. Its description in RNAcentral is "partial 16S ribosomal RNA". It matches the Rfam family "Bacterial small subunit ribosomal RNA", at positions 524 to 776 of the family's 1533-position model. The record is from RNAcentral.